This is a long non-coding RNA of Rhododendron vialii, 1069 nucleotides long. RefSeq lists it as uncharacterized. The transcript has 2 exons. The record is from RefSeq and is a predicted model, not a curated record. Lineage: Eukaryota; Viridiplantae; Streptophyta; Magnoliopsida; Ericales; Ericaceae.
GGGGAUGGAGGAGUAUCCUUGGGAAGGGAUUUAUUGAAGAAAGGUUUAAAAUGGGAGCUGGGCGAUGGUUCUUCUAUUGAUCCUUUUUGUGAUGAGUGGAUGAGUGGAUUCCAUUUGUUUCCAACCCCUACGGUUCUGUUUCUGCUAAUAGAUGUUUAGCAGUUUUCAAGUUUCAGACCUGAUCAAUUGGGAGUCUAGAUCAGGGCGGAUUCCCCUUCUUUCCUUUUUGUUUCCUCCUGAAGUGGUUAGAAAUAUUUCAGCCAUCACAAUUCCUUCUUGUUCGUCUAAGGACAGGCUUGUGUGGACAAGCAGAUGAAGCCAUUGAGCACUUUGUGUUUGAAUGCUCUUUUUCUAAACAUAUAUGGAGAGGAUCAACAUUGGGUCUGGAUUUUGAUGUGGGUAAUCCCAUGGGGCUUACUGAAUGGUUGGUAGAGUGGAUUAGAAAAGGAAAUUGUUUUUGAAUCUAGAAUCCAUUUUGAUAAUGUUGUUUCCCAUCCAAAUGAUGUGCUGUUUUCCUGUAAGGCCUUGUUUGCUCAGGUUUUUCAAAGCCAAAAGUUGGGUUCUAACCAUGAUGCUUCCAAUUUUGUUCUUGCUGAUGAGGCUAGUAGCAGGGGGGUGGCUCAGGAGGGUACUCUUUCCGUUUUGGUCAUUCUGAUGGUUUUGCAGAUGAUGGGGGCAGAGUUUACUUUUGAAUAGAUGGAGCUUGGCAGAAAGAAGGAUUGCAGGGAGCUUUUGCGUGGGUGGCUGAAAAUUCUCAGGCGGAUAAGCUUAUGCAGGGUUUGGGGAAGCACAUGAUGCCCAGUGCAAAUGUUGCAGAAGCCACUGCUUGUUUGGAGGCUGUUUGGUUAAGCUCUAUUAUUUCAAAUAUUGAUAGGUUUGACUUUAUUUUGAUUGUAAAAGUCAGUAGGGUCUCGAUGCAAGUUGCUCAUAAGUUGGCAAAAGCCACCCUGAAAAGGGAGGGCUAGUAUUUUGGUAAUGAAGUUUCUGCUUUCUCGAAAAAAAACAUUUCAUCCUAUACUCAAUGCCAAAUUGAAGUACUAUCAACUCAAGAAUAAAUUUCAGCUGUAAA